Beta vulgaris subsp. vulgaris (sugar beet) is the source of this 72-nucleotide non-coding RNA. NCBI's taxonomy places the organism in Eukaryota, Viridiplantae, Streptophyta, Magnoliopsida, Caryophyllales, Amaranthaceae. The record is from Rfam.
GCCUCCAAGGAUGAUCGACAGUUUUCUGAAAUUUCCUUGUGGAAAAAAUUUGGAGACCUGAACUGAGGUUGC